UACGGAGGGUGCAAACGUUGCUCGGAAUCAUUGGGCGUAAAGCGCACGUAGGCGGCGCGUUAAGUCGGAUGUGAAAGCCCCGGGCUCAACCCGGGAAGUGCAUUGGAAACUGGCGAACUUGAGUACGGGAGAGGGCAGUGGAAUUCCUAGUGUAGGAGUGAAAUCCGUAGAUAUUAGGAGGAACACCGGUGGCGAAGGCGGCUGCCUGGACCGAUACUGACGCUGAGACGCGAAAGCGUGGGGAGCAAACAGG
This 253-nucleotide ribosomal RNA is filed under the name uncultured bacterium. RNAcentral's name for it is "partial 16S ribosomal RNA". It matches the Rfam family "Bacterial small subunit ribosomal RNA", at positions 524 to 776 of the family's 1533-position model. The record is from RNAcentral.